This is a non-coding RNA of Erinaceus europaeus (western European hedgehog), 103 nucleotides long. The record is from Rfam. NCBI's taxonomy places the organism in Eukaryota, Metazoa, Chordata, Mammalia, Eulipotyphla, Erinaceidae.
GUGCUCACUUCAGUAGCACAUAUACUAAAAUUGAAGCAAUAGAAGAUUAGCAUGGCCCCUGUGCAAGGAUGACAUGCAAAUUUGUGAAGUGUUCCAUAUUUUU